This 291-nucleotide long non-coding RNA is filed under the name Solanum tuberosum (potato). Its description in RNAcentral is "long non-coding RNA (STUB_LNC002676)". Lineage: Eukaryota; Viridiplantae; Streptophyta; Magnoliopsida; Solanales; Solanaceae. The record is from RNAcentral.
UGAUUUGGAGUUCUCUCCAGUUGUGGAAACUAAUUGAAGCAUUGUUCAAUCUCCAUUGCAGCUUGUUAGAUCGAUGAAUCAUGUGCUUAGUUCCAUUUUUCUUUAGUGCAUUAUUAUUUCAGUCCUAGUUCUUUUGUAACUCUGACCUAGUAGUUGUCACCAUCAUCCUAGCUCAUUUAACAGAGAAAGAACUAUCAUCCUAGUUCAUUUAACUUAAAGGUAAAUUAUUUCAUAGGACCUUUAAGUUGUCACUAUCAUCCUAUUUCACUAAAGAUCAUCCUAUGAACUAAU